CGGCAGAACAGCCAAGAAAAAAGGGAGGCCGACCACCAGGUGCUCAGAAUAAAGUUAACAAGAUAGGGUGUCUUGCGAAAGGAAAGGAAACACUGAUUGAAAUUACAGAAGAAGAGAAAACUGGAACUAAGAAAAGGAAAAUUUUGGAGUUUGUUUCAUUGGAUUGCUCUCUGCUACCACCAUCCUCAAACCCUCACCACAUCACCCAACCUCAUACUGCUGCACCUACUGCUACUCCUGCAGAUGUACACUCCGAUGCUCAAUCUCUAGAUCUAAUUUUUCAACUCCUCACUCGUCCAUCAAUUGCUAAUCAUCUUGUUCAUCGAGGAUUGUUAAGCAAAGAUAUCCUUAAUCGUAUUCCAACCACAACUGCUGAGCAACUUCCAUUCAACCAAUCAGUAACAAAUACCACUAAUCCAGACCAUACUGAUCCCAUCAAUAACAAAAAUUAUUCACCAACUAUAAGUGAAGAAGGGACUUCACAGAUAUCUCAGUCUGAACCUUAUACUGGUACCGAUAAUUUCGUCGCUAUUGAUCCAUCUGAGACCGAGGAAUCCAGGGCUAUACUGAUGAGUGUGAUUCGUCAUGAAACCAACCUCAAUCAAAGCUCCUUGCUGAUAUCUUCUAAUAGUGCGCUACAUAACGAGGUUUGCUCUCUUCAAACAUUCUAUUACCUUUUCCUUAUCUCCUACCAUGUGCCUGAAAAUUUCAUAACAAAUUCUAGUCUCAUCAAAAAUAAUUCUAACUGCUCUUUAUAUUUCAACUAUUACUCUAACACAACACAACCUCAUUUUUUUCAUUUUACCUCAUCAUCUCCCUUACACCAUAGUACUUGGUCAUAUCUUGCUGUUGAUACUCACUAUACUUACUACACAAAUACUACCAUACUCUACUAUUAUGCUUGCCUAGAUUAUUGCUCCACUAAUCUACAUCUUAUCAUAUGGUACUUUAGUUACUCACAUUGCUAUAUCUACGAAUUGCAUAAGUUCUGGUUACUUGGUUUGUAUACUUGUAUAUGGUCACUUAGCUACUUGGUUGGUAUUGUGUUUCAAGAUAUGAAUAUACUAGCUUGGAACCUUUGGGGUUGUGAUAAUGUUCAGACAAUAAGAGCUCUAAAAGAUUUAAUUAGAGAACAAAAACCUCAAAUCAUCUUCCUAUCUGAAACUAAAUCUUCACCAAAUUCUACUCUCUCCCUGAUUAACUCUCUUAAUUACCAACACUAUCACUUUGUUGAACCAAACCACCAUGCUGGUGGACUCCUCCUCCUUUGGUCAACAAAUGUUCAUCUCCAAGUCAUCUCCUCAAAUCAAUAUAUUAUUAAUACCAUAAUAAAUCAAAAUGAUAACAGUUUACCUUUCUCUGCUUCUUUCUUCUAUGGGAGCCCCUACACCCAACUUAAAGACUUCAGUUGGAGUUUCCUCAAAAAAGCUUGUGAUACUGCCCCUGUUCCUUGGAUGGUUAUAGGAGAUCUGAAUGUCAUCUUCUCCCAGUCUGAAAAAAUUGGAGGUCUUCCUUUUGAUACCAACGAAUGUAAGUUUGCUUCUGAUAUCACUAAUGAACUUGGUCUUAUAGACUUAGGUUUUAUUGGUGAACCUUUUACCUGGUGCAAUAAGAGGUGUAACCCCCAUAACAUCAGAAAAAGACUCGAUAGAUGUCUCUGCACUACCAGCUGGCACCUAUCCCAUCCUGAGGCAAAGCUGCACCAUCUGCCAGCUAUUGCUUCUGACCACUGCCCUAUACUUCUACGUAUAAGUCCCCCUCUGCAUGGUGGGCCUAAACCUUUCAAAUUUCAAAAUAUGUGGGUUCGCGAUGAAAAUUUUAACUUUGUGGUUGAUAUGGCCUGGAAAAGAGUGCAUAUCCCAUUACGUCACACUUGUCCUCCACUAAAAAAGCUCUUACCAUUUGGAAUAAAAAUGUGUUCGGAAACAUUUUUCACAAAGUUUCUUCCCUUAAAAAGAGGAUCUCUAAUGUCCAAUCCCAGCCUUGCUCCCCUCAAAACAAAGAUCUGGAAAGAAAUCUGAUCAAUGAACUUGAUGAAGUUCAAGCCAGAGAAGAGAUAGCUUGGCAACAAAAAUCUAAUGACAGAACAAUUCUUGAGGGAGACAAAAACACAAAGUUUUUUCACAUCUCCUGUCUCAUUCUCAGAAAUCAUAAUACUAUUGAGUCUAUUCUUGACUUAAAUAACAACAGAACCUUCGAUAAAAGAUCUAUCCAUAAGAUCUUCAUUGACCAUUUCACUCAUCUUCUCUGCCCCCAUGUCAUCCCUCUCUCCCCUAGUCAAAAGCUGACUAUCUCUGAAUUUUUCCCUACCUGCAUGUCCCUGGAAGAUAAGGAAAUGCUUAACAGAGAUAUCACUCCUGAGGAAAUUAAAUUCUAUAUGUUCGGUAUUGGUCCUCUAAAGGCUCCUGGCCCUGAUGGCUUCACUAGCCUUUUCUUCCAAAAAUCUUGGGGAAUAGUUCAACCGGAACUAUAUAAACUUGUUAUGGAUUUCUGGAAAAAUGAUAAAACUAUUGAGCACAUUAAUCACACCAACAUUGCCUUAAUCCCUAAAUGUGACUUCCCAAACCACCCUUCUGACUUUAGACCUAUUAGUCUUUGCAAUGUGACUUACAAGGUUCUAUCCAAAUUGUUGGCUGAUAGGCUCAGGGAUCUCCUACCAAAGAUAUGAUUAUCUCCCCUCUUCAGUGUGCCUUUGUCCCUAACAGACAAAUCUCUGAUAAUGUCUUGUUGGCUCAUGAGAUAAUCCACUCUCUUAGGAGGAAACAAGGAAAAUAUGGGGUCAUGGCCAUAAAGAUUGACAUGUCCAAAGCUUUCGAUAGAGUAAACUGGGAAUGUCUAUGGAAAUUCUUAAAUGUUUAGGUCUCCCCCAUAAUUUCAUGGAUCUUAUUCACAAGUGUAUAUCUUCUAUCCACUCCUCUGUCAUUAUCAAUGGCACCCCCCAUGGUUACUUCAAACCUACUAAUGGGCUCAAACAAGGGGACCCCAUAUCCCCCUCCCUCUUCAUCAUUUGCAUGGAGCUUCUUUCUAGACUAAUUCAACAAAAAUGUAACCAGAAAAAAAUAAAUAGUAUCAAAGUCUCUAGUAAUAGCCACCCUAUCUCUCAUCUGCUAUUUGCUGAUGAUAUCUUUAUUUUCUGUAAUGCUAACAUUGAUGAAGCUCUAGAGUUACUCCAAACUCUUCAAACUUUCACUUCUAUCUCUGGCCAAGAGAUAAACUUCUCCAAAUCGGGCAUUCUUUUCAGUAAAAACACUCCCACCCAUACUCAAAGUCAAAUUCAAACUACCCUCCAUAUGUCUCAGUUGAAUAAAGAGGAUCUUUACCUUGGGACUCCCCUCUUCCUUGGCCAAAAGAAAUCCUUACUUUUCAAAAAUCUCAUCUCUAGGGUUGAGAAAAGACUUGUUGGCUGGAAAAGUAAAGUAUUAUCCCAGGCUGGUAGAACUGUCUUGAUCAACUCGGUCACUUCUGCCAUCCCUUCUUACCAAAUGACCUGCUUCAAAAUUCCUAAGUCCAUCACUGAUAGACUCAAUCAACUCCAAAGAGAUUUUUGGUGGGGGCAAAUGGAAACUAAACAGAGGAAAAUGCAUCUCAUUAGUUGGACCAAAUUAUGCCAACCUAAAUGCAAAGGAGGUCUUGGAAUUAAAAACCUCGACGAUCAAAAUGAUGCCCUCCUCAGUAGGAUUGCCUGGAGAAUCAUCACCCAACCUGAGAACCUAUGUUCUAGCAUCCUUCGAUCCAAAUACUUUCCUCUUAACUCUCCUCUUCAUCACCAUAUUCACCACUCUCCCUCCUGGACCUGGAAUUCUAUUUCUACUGUUAUUAAAAAAAUCACCAAUGUCAUAUGUUGGGACAUUGGCACUGGGUCUUCCAUCCCCAUCUGGGACUCUAACUGGAUCCCUUCCAGCCCAAACUUCAAGCCUUUACCUCUGGCCAACACCAACUUCAUCCUUCAUUCUAAUAUCCAUUAUGUUAACCAACUCCUUCUUCCUAACACUAAUCAGUGGAAUAGUAAUCUUCUUGACCAACUUUUCACUCCCUGUACGAUCCAUCAUAUUAAAAGUACCCCUGUUAAAGGUCACCAUUGUGUUGAUAGGCUUAAAUGGAUGGGAACUAAAAAUGGUCUGUUUAGUGUUAAAUCCUCUUAUAAGUACUUAACUAGGAAUGAACAUAACACUCCCUUCAUUGCUAAAACUCAUCUUAAAAUGUGGAAAACUUUUGCUACUCCGAGAGCUAUUCUCUUUGCUUGGAAAUGCCUUUUCCAAGGAGUUCCUACUAAAGAAAGAAUAGGGAGACACAUCCCCCUAACUUCCAAACUUUGUCCCAUGUGUAGCCAUCCUAGUGAGACUCUAAAACACAUGCUCCUUGAUUGUCCUUAUACUCAAGCAGUGUGGUUUCUCUCACAUUGGAACUUCAGAUUAAACCACUUCCACAAUUUAAAUGAAAUCCAAUGGAUUAACAUAUGGUUUGACCCUCCCAAAGAUUGGCUGGUUAAUAUUAAUGAUUGGAGCUCCUAUUGUGUGACCAUUACAUGGGCUAUCUGGAAAUGUAGAUGUGAUAAAGUAUUCAAUGGAAUUCUGUUGGAUCCUAUGUUAUUGGCAAAGAAAGUGGAUGCUCAGCUGAGCAAGACUUUCAGGAAUAGAAUGACCACCUGUGACUCUCAAUCUACACUGCCAUCCCCAUGCUCUUUAUGGAUACCACCUUCAGAUGGCUAUUGCAAGAUAAAUGUGGAUAUUGCGUUCCAAACUGCUGAUACGAACAUAGGCAUUGGUAUGCUAAUCAGAGAUACAUAUGGAAAAUUUCUAUUUGCAAGCAGUGAAACAGGCAAGGCAGGCUCUCCAGCUGAGGCAGAAUGCGCAGGCAUCUUAUCUGCCUGCAAGACAGGACUCCAGCAACAUCUGAGCAAGGUGGUGAUAGAAACUGAUAACCUAUCAGCAGCUAACUACAUGAAUCGAAAGCAAGCAAACUUAUCUUGGGUGGCUUUAAACAUUUUGGAUGAGGCCCUAUUUAUAUCUAAGUCUUUUUCUUCUAUUUAUUUUAUGCACUGUAACAGGAGUGGGAACUGCUCGGCUCAUAUCAUUGCGCAGCAUACUGAUUUAAGCAGCUUGGUUCCCACUACCUUUUCCUUUCCUCCAAUCUGGCUGAUAGAACAGCUAGA
Molecule: long non-coding RNA, 5152 nt
Filed under: Aquilegia coerulea
Lineage: Eukaryota; Viridiplantae; Streptophyta; Magnoliopsida; Ranunculales; Ranunculaceae
Description: long non-coding RNA (ACOE_LNC001584)
Source: RNAcentral